This 216-nucleotide ribosomal RNA is filed under the name Glomeromycotina sp. Its description in RNAcentral is "partial small subunit ribosomal RNA". The stretch from base 40 to 216 matches the Rfam family "Eukaryotic small subunit ribosomal RNA", at positions 686 to 864 of the family's 1831-position model. Lineage: Eukaryota; Fungi; Glomeromycota. The record is from RNAcentral.
GGGUCAGUAGGCUGGUCGUGCCACCGGUACGUACUGGUCUCACUGAUUCCUCCUUCCUGAAGAACCGUAAUGCCAUUAAUUUGGUGUUGCGGGGAAACAGGACUGUUACUUUGAAAAAAUUAUAGUGUUUAAAGCAAGCUAACGCUUGAAUACACUAGCAUGGAAUAAUGAAAUAGGACGAUCGAUCCUAUUUUGUUUGUUUCUAGGAUUGACGUA